Ribosomal RNA from Microcebus murinus (gray mouse lemur), 109 nucleotides. The record is from Ensembl. NCBI's taxonomy places the organism in Eukaryota, Metazoa, Chordata, Mammalia, Primates, Cheirogaleidae.
GUCUACAGCCAUACCACCCUGAACACACGCAAUCUCAUCUGAUCUCGGAAGCUACAUAGGGUUGGGCCUGGUUAGUACUUGGAUGAGAAAAAGAGCAUGGGGCCAGACU